AGUGAACGCUGGCGGCAUGCUUUACACAUGCAAGUCGAACGGUAACAGGUUAGGCUGACGAGUGGCGAACGGGUGAGUAAUGCAUCGGAACGUGCCCGAUCGUGGGGGAUAACGCAGCGAAAGCUGCGCUAAUACCGCAUACGAUCUGAGGAUGAAAGCGGGGGACCGUAAGGCCUCGCGCGAUCGGAGCGGCCGAUGUCAGAUUAGGUAGUUGGUGGGGUAAAGGCUCACCAAGCCAACGAUCUGUAGCUGGUCUGAGAGGACGACCAGCCACACGGGGACUGAGACACGGCCCAGACUCCUACGGGAGGCAGCAGUGGGGAAUUUUGGACAAUGGGCGAAAGCCUGAUCCAGCAAUGCCGCGUGCAGGAAGAAGGCCUUCGGGUUGUAAACUGCUUUUGUACGGAGCGAAAAGGCUCUCUCUAAUACAGGGGGCUCAUGACGGUACCGUAAGAAUAAGCACCGGCUAACUACGUGCCAGCAGCCGCCGUAA
This 493-nucleotide ribosomal RNA is filed under the name uncultured bacterium. Its description in RNAcentral is "partial 16S ribosomal RNA". It matches the Rfam family "Bacterial small subunit ribosomal RNA", at positions 29 to 523 of the family's 1533-position model. The record is from RNAcentral.